Molecule: small RNA, 506 nt
Filed under: Pongo abelii (Sumatran orangutan)
Lineage: Eukaryota; Metazoa; Chordata; Mammalia; Primates; Hominidae
Description: processed transcript
Source: RNAcentral
UGGCCGCCGCGGCUCCCGCCAGGGCACUGCAAAGGCGACCUGCCGCAUUCCCACGCGGGCUCUCCGCCGACUCAGCACCGCCCCUGCGCCAAGCCAGCCGGCCAGGUCAAAGUUGUCUCCUCUCCAAAUCUUGCAGAAGCACCUUUCUUCUCUUCAGCGCACUGUUUUGGGACUGUUUAUGCAGCAGACGUAAGUAGACAGCAUGGACUCCAUGUGACAUGCCUCUGAUAGUAAAGAUAAAGUAUUACUGAGGUUAAAAAUAAAAAUUGAGUGGUAUUAAUUUAAAGUGCACCGUCAGGACAACAAACCAUUGAAGCUGAAAAAACGCUAUUUUAGUUCUUGAGUUUGCCAGUUGCUUCCACCUUGAGUUAAGGACAUGUCUCAUCUUCACCUACUGUGCAUUUUCCCUUCUCUAACUGUGUAAUAUGUCAGGUCAAGGACAUUGAAUGUUAUGAAUUGAGAACCUAAUUGAUGCGCAUAGUUUUCAUCUAUGCAAUUUUACUUGC